Molecule: long non-coding RNA, 4401 nt
Filed under: Homo sapiens (human)
Lineage: Eukaryota; Metazoa; Chordata; Mammalia; Primates; Hominidae
Description: HSALNT0328191
Source: RNAcentral
ACUGUUGUAGGUGCUGUGGGGCAAGUGAGAUUAAGACCUUGCCCUCUAAGUAAUAUUAAAUAGAUGAUAAUGUGAUAGCAAGUGACAGCUGGAGUGAGAGACUGUGCUUGAGUUAGGGUAAUCAAGAAAGGUCUCAUAGAAGAAGUGGUUAGGUAAGACUGGGUGUAGUCAUGUGAAGAUGUAGAGAAGAACUUUCCAAGCAGAAGAGACACAAAAUGCAAAAGCUAUGAGAUGGGCAAGAGCAUAUGUGUUAAUAAGACAGAAGGAAAGCCUGUGUGGAUGAGCAAUGGGAAAAGAGAAGAGAAAAGAAAAGAAAGAUGAAGUCUGAAGUCUAAGGAACAGGAACAAGUCUGAAUCUUGUACAGCCUUGUAGCCCAUGCAGGAGUCUAAAAACUCAAACGUAUCUAAAAGCCAUGACACAGAAGGCCUGGAGACUGCAUGGAAUGAUGAGGACUGCAGUGAACUCUGAAGUGCCUACCCAUGUGAAACGAACAAGUGCUAUUCGGAAGAAGCAGGUUGUGUUAAUUCUGAAGGUGAUUUUAAUACCCCACAUCUUUACGUUUGAGCCGGCAGCCAGCAGUUGAAAUUGACAUGUGAGAGUUCUUCUAAGUCCCAGAUGCUAGCUGCCAACUGCCUUUUUGUUCUUGUUUCCUUGGAAACGGAGAUUGGUUUCAUGAAAACAAGGUGGAAGUAGCUGGAUGCCAGUUUUCUGAGAUUUGCCCAAACAUGGAUGACUUGCAUGUUACGAAAGGAUUUUGCCGUGUCAAAUGUUUUCAUUUCGUUUAUUAGUUAAGACAUAUAAUUCAAAACUCUUUGGCCACCUCUAGGAGUAUGUAUUUCAUUAAGAUUAUGUAAAAACUACUAAUAGUUUCACAAUUGAAUACAUAAGUAUGUGCCUAUUUGGGGAGGAAGGGGCAUUCAAAUGACAAUUAACAGUAACAGAGUAACAGAAACUGAAAUCUCCGGCCUACCUCUAGGUCCGUUCCCAAGAAUAACAUUGUUAGUCUCACCCCAAUUCUAUUUAGAAUUUAGUGCUAUUCAUCUGUAUCCUGAUAUAAUCAUUGUUAAAACAAUUAAUUUUGCUCUCAUUACGAAAAAAUAAAGAAUUUACCUAAAACCUAUCUCUUUUCCUCUUGUACAUCGAAGGUUUGUUAUAAUUUUCCAUUCUGCUAAUGAUUCUCAUUUUAAAGCAUUCAAAUUGAUGUUAAUUGCAUAAGGAAUACAGUAAUAUUUCCUCCUGAUAAAAAUCUAAAAUGUUACAAAUAAGGCUGUUACCCCUUUGAUUCUCAUUUUGAUCUACACAAAUAAUUGAAUAUUUGUAAGGCUGUGAUACAAUAAUCACAAAUAAGUGAUACAAUAAUCACUUUGGCCUCCCAAAGUGCUGGGAUUACAGGCAUGAGCCACUGCGUCUGGCCAACAUUUACUUUUAACGUGUUACUGAAACUACUAUUCAGGUUGAGUAUGUACAUAAUGGAAGCUGACUCAAAAUUUAACUGCUCCUAUAAGAAAAAAAACUAUGCAUUUUCAUAUUAUUGUCCAUCCAUUCAUUUAUUCAUUCAUUAAAUUGUGUAUUUAUUAAUGCAGAGCCAGAUAUUAUGAAUACUCAGAUGAUUAAGAACCAUAUAUUACUCUCAAGAAUACACUGUGAAGUGAAAAGAUCAAUGGUCAGUCCCAGACAUCGAUUUCCAAGCAAAUAUUAAGUCAUUAGAUCAAUAGUAGCCAAUAAUAGGACCAAGCCUCUUUCCCUUUGGAUUCCUAUCCAGCUGUUGCCUCUGUGAGCAAUGCAGCUUCCUAAUUUCUUUGGUAUACAAGCUUUUCUACUGUUUUCUUUACAUUUCUAAGGCCUCUGGCCACCACUUUUAACAUCUAGUUUAUUAAUUGUCACUACUUAAGUUAAUCUUUGUUCUAAGAAACAUAUUUUCUCAAAAAGAUCUAGAAAGAGAUAAGUUUCAUUAAUGGAGACUUUUCAUAUUAAAAAGUUGCUGGAAACCGUUUUCUCAUGCUUUUAAAAAAUAAUUAUUUUAAGAAUAAGGUGGUAUUCCAAUAAAGGUCAUAAUUAACAUAAACUUAAUAAAAUUUGACCUAGGGAGGGUUUACUUAAUGUAAGCUUCAUUAGAAAUCUCUUUUAUUCUAAAAUAUUAAACCUAAUCAACCCAAACAAAAUUACUCAGCAUGCUGAAUAUGAUACUGAAUGUAGUUCUGUACAGUGUUUUCUUUAAAUUUGAAAGGUCAAUCCAGACUAUCAACCCAUGACCAGCAAUUACCCAUUACAGAAUCGUCAAUAAUUUUAACUUUGAAAAUAGUAGACAGAAAAUGGGAGUUCAUAAUUAUUUGCUGAAUGAGUGAAUGGGAGCUGGAACAGGACUCAGGCAACCUAGUGUAAUUACAACUAGUUUGUAUUCCCUGGCCCUAGUUACCUCAUCUGCAGAGUGAGAUGCGUGGAUACUGUUCGAUUGUAACAUAUUUUAUAUGUAUUAGGUUGGUGCAAAAGUAAUUGUAAUUUUUGGCCUUACUUUCAUUGGCAAAAACUACAAUUACUUUUGCACCAAUCUAAAUACUUUCUAUAUACUGGUGAAGACAGAAAUUCAAUGAUUCAAAAAUACAAUAGGAAUGUUUUUCCCUUCCAAGUACUUUCAGUUUAGAAAAAUGGCCAAAAUUUCUGUCUGUGAUAGUUCUAAUAUUGAAAAAGUAAAGGUAAUAUAAACCAUAAUAAACAGCAUAAGUAUAUUUUAUGUGAUUAUUUUGAUCAUUUAUUCCCCAAUACUAUAUGACUAUUUCCUGUGUGACAUGCACCCCACCAAGUGCUUAGUAUGUAAUAUAAAAAUAUAGACAUACCUCAUUUUAUUGCACUUUAUUUUAUUGUACUUUGUAUUAUGUUUUUUACAAAUUGAAGGUUUAUAGAAAUUCUGCAUCCAGCAAGUCUAUCAGUGCUCUUUUUCUAAUAGCAUGUCCUCACUUUCUGUCUCUGUGUCACAUUUUGGUAAUUCCCACAGUACUUCAAACUUUUUUAUUAUUAAUAUAUCUGUUACUGUUAUCUGUCAUCAGUGAUCUUGCAUGUUAUUUUUGUAAUUGUAUUGUAAUUGUACUGGGGCACCUGAACUGUGCCCACAGGACAAAUAAGAUGGCAAACUUAAUCAAUAAAUGUUCUGUGUAUUCUGACUGCUCCACCAACGGGUCAUUCCCAUUUCUCUCCAUCUCCUUAGAUCUCCCUAUUACCUGAGACACAAUAUUAUGGAAAUUGGGUUAAUUAAUAACCCUACAGUAACCUCUAAACAUUCAAAUGGAAGGAAGAAUCUCAUCUCUCUCACUUUAAAGCAAAAGCUAUGAAUGAUUAAGCUUAGUGAGGAGGGCAUAUCAAAAGCCAAGAUAGGCCGAAAGCUAGGUCCCUUGUGCCAAACAGCCAAUUCGUGAAUGCAAAGGAAAAGUUAUUGAAGAAAACUAAAAGUGCUCCUCCAGCAAACACACAAUGAUAAGAAAGUGAGAAACUCCUAUUGUUGAUGUGGAGAAAGGUUGAAUGGUCUAGAUAGAAGGUCAAACAAGCCAGAUUUCCUUAAUCCAAAGCCUAAUCCAGAAUAAGACUCUAACUCUCUUCAAUUCUAUGAAUGCUGAAAGAAAGAGAUGAGGAAGCUGAUGAAGAAAAAUUUGAAGCCAGCAGAGGUUGGUUCAUGAGGCUUAAAGAAAGAAGCCAUCUCCAAAACACGAAAGUGCAAAGUGAAGAAGCAAGUGCUGAUACAGAAAUUGCAGCAACCUAUCCAGAAGAUCCAGCUAAGACCUUUGAUGAGUGUAGCUACAUUAAACAAUAUAUUUUCUAUGUAGACAAAACAGCCUUCAAUUAGAAGAUAAUGCCAUCAAGAACUUUCACAGAAAAGAGAGGUCAAUGACUGGCCUCAAAGCUUCAAAGGACAGGCUGACUCUCUAAUAGGUGAAAGGGAGUUGCCUCGUCUCAUGAGACUUUGGACUGUGGACUUUUGAGUUAAUGCUGAAAUGAGUUAAGACUUGGGGGACUGUUGAGAAGGGAUGAUUGUAUUUUGCAAUAUGAGAAGGACAUGAGAUGUGGGAGGGGCCAGGGCUGAAAUGAUAUGGUUUGGAUUUGCGUCCCUGCCCAAAUCUCAUGUAGAAUUGUAAUCCCCAGUGUUGGAGAAGGGGCCUGGUGGGAGGUGAUUGGAUCAUGGGGGAGGAUUGCCCCCUUGCUGUUCUUGUGAUAUUGAGUGAGUUCUCAGGAGAUCUGGCUGAUUAAAAGUGUGUAGCACCUCCCCCUGUGCUGUCUUCCUCCCACUCCAGCCAUGUAAGACGUGCUUGCUUUUCCCUCACCCUCAGCCAUGAUUCUAAGUUUCCUGAGGCCUCCCCAGCCAUGCUUCAUGUACAGCCUGUGGAACCAUGCACCAAUUAAACCUCUUGUCU